Molecule: ribosomal RNA, 405 nt
Filed under: uncultured bacterium
Lineage: Bacteria
Description: partial 16S ribosomal RNA
Rfam family: Bacterial small subunit ribosomal RNA
Source: RNAcentral
AUUGAACGCUAGCGGGAUGCUUUACACAUGCAAGUCGAACGAGGGGCGGACGGGUGAGUAAUAUAUCGGAACGUGCCCAGUAGCGGGGGAUAACUACUCGAAAGAGUGGCUAAUACCGCAUACUAUUGGAGCGGCCGAUAUCGGAUUGGCUAGUUGGUGGGGUAAAGGCUCACCAAGGCCACGAUCCGUAGCUGGUCUGAGAGGACGAUCAGCCAACCUGGGACUGAGACACGGCCCAGACUCCUACGGGAGGCAGCAGUGGGGAAUUUUGCACAAUGGGGGCAAGCCUGAUCCAGCCAUCCCGCGUGUAUGAGAAGGCCUUAGGGUUGUAAAGUACUUUUGGUAGGGAAGCGUUACCGACAGAAGAAGCACCGGCUAACUCCGUGCCAGCAGCCGCGGUAAUAC